GCUCAUGACGGCCCAGCAGGCGCGGUAGAAGGUAGGGUGCGAGGGGUUUCCGGUUUGACUGGGCGUAAAGGGCAUGUAGGCGGUUGUGGAAGUCCGAUGUUAAAGCCCCUGGCUCAACUGGGGGAGGUCAUUGGAGACUACUCGACUUGAGGGCAACAGAGGCACGUGGAACUCCCGGUGUAGCGGUGGAAUGCGUAGAGAUCGGGAAGAACACCAGUGGCGAAGGCGACGUGCUGGGUUGCAACUGACGCUGAGAUGCGAAAGUGUGGGGAGCAAACGGGAUUAGAUACCCUGGUAGUC
RNAcentral lists this ribosomal RNA (300 nucleotides) under uncultured Desulfovibrio sp. RNAcentral describes it as "bacterial SSU rRNA". It matches the Rfam family "Bacterial small subunit ribosomal RNA", at positions 496 to 795 of the family's 1533-position model. The record is from RNAcentral. Lineage: Bacteria; Pseudomonadati; Thermodesulfobacteriota; Desulfovibrionia; Desulfovibrionales; Desulfovibrionaceae.